RNAcentral lists this ribosomal RNA (399 nucleotides) under Triticum aestivum (bread wheat). RNAcentral's name for it is "partial small subunit ribosomal RNA". The record is from RNAcentral. Lineage: Eukaryota; Viridiplantae; Streptophyta; Magnoliopsida; Poales; Poaceae.
GACUUAGGACAAAGAUCCGGCUAUAUCAUGUAACAUAGAAAUAAUUCUAGAACUGAUUGAUAUAAAAUUAUACCGUCGUGCGCGUUAAAGAGGUAAGAUUGAUCCGUACUUCUUCCGCGGGUGGGUACUCGAUAAUUAGUCUUUCUGUUUGUUUUCCUCGCCUUCCUUGGUACUUCUACCGUCAAACGUUGUCGAUCCGUAAAACACAUUACGUCGUUUUUGUCGCAGAAAAUCAUAGUAAAACAUUUGGAUAUACCACGGAGCAGUAGACCCAUCAAACACAUUACCUCGUUUGUUACUUAACCGCCUGUACGUAGAUAGUAAAACAUUUAGAUAGUCCACUAAGGCACUGAUGUUGUAUUUACAACCCUACGACUACUCUUAAUUAAUUACACAAUA